Argiope bruennichi is the source of this 414-nucleotide long non-coding RNA. RefSeq lists it as uncharacterized. The record is from RefSeq and is a predicted model, not a curated record. NCBI's taxonomy places the organism in Eukaryota, Metazoa, Arthropoda, Arachnida, Araneae, Araneidae. The transcript has 2 exons.
UCUAAGCUAUACAUUUUUUAUCGUAAAACAUAUUGAACAUAGUUUGCACUUAUGCCAUGCGCCUUACGGAUUCCUUUUAAAUGGGGCAGAUUCUCCGAGAUCAUUCGUCCGCAGGUUUUCAUGGCAGUUGGCGGGAUUUUGACUGGCGAAAUCUUUCCAAUAACCCUGUCCGCGUGCGACUCAGUCCUCUUGUUCCUCUGAUAUUGUCGUCGUUCUCUGGAAGGAAGCAUUAAGAACCCAUGCGAUAUGGAAAGAAAUUCGCUCCAGACGACAUCAUCCACAGGAAGUUCAAUAAUCAAUGACAACCACUGACUCUGGCCAUCCCAGUCUCCGCGCUUACCAUAUUGUUAAUUGGAAUCUAUAAGCUGAAAGUCACUCCCAGGCAUAAUGAACAUCAUUAAUGUCAAGUCCAAG